This 222-nucleotide long non-coding RNA is filed under the name Capsicum annuum. RNAcentral's name for it is "long non-coding RNA (CANN_LNC006519)". Lineage: Eukaryota; Viridiplantae; Streptophyta; Magnoliopsida; Solanales; Solanaceae. The record is from RNAcentral.
AAGUACCAACAUUUUCAAUAUGUUUCCAGUUUCAUCUGGGUAGAAUUUUUUUUGUGUAUGGCGUUGGCCCCUGAACAAGUGAUGCUCUUUACCAAUCAGCUUCUUCUAUCAAUUCAACAAUGACUUUCUGGAAGUAAGUCCUAUUGAAUUCCAAUUGCAAACUCACUUUGUAAUUGAUGACUCGUGAGUAGCUCCAGCAUUUGGUUUUGGCUUCAGUAGUGC